RNAcentral lists this ribosomal RNA (253 nucleotides) under uncultured bacterium. RNAcentral's name for it is "partial 16S ribosomal RNA". It matches the Rfam family "Bacterial small subunit ribosomal RNA", at positions 524 to 776 of the family's 1533-position model. The record is from RNAcentral.
UACGUAGGGUGCGAGCGUUAAUCGGAAUUACUGGGCGUAAAGCGUGCGCAGGCGGUUUUGUAAGCCAGAUGUGAAAUCCCCCGGCUUAACCUGGGAACUGCGUCUGAUACUGGGAGGCUUGAGUAUGGGAGAGGGAUGUAGAAUUCCAGGUGUAGCGGUGAAAUGCGUAGAUAUCAGGAGGAAUACCGGUGGCGAAAGCGACUCUCUGGACGGCAACUGACGCUGAGGCACGAAAGCGUGGGGAGCAAACAGG